RNAcentral lists this ribosomal RNA (440 nucleotides) under uncultured bacterium. RNAcentral's name for it is "partial 16S ribosomal RNA". It matches the Rfam family "Bacterial small subunit ribosomal RNA", at positions 338 to 795 of the family's 1533-position model. The record is from RNAcentral.
UCUUCGGGUGUCAGCAGUAGGGAAUUUUGCGCCAUGGGCGAAAGCCUGACGCAGCAACGCCGCGUGAUCGAGACGCCCUUCGGGGUGUAACGAUCUGUCAGUGGGGACGCAACUUGACGGUACCCACAGAGGAAGCCCCGGCUAACUCCGUGCCAGCAGCCGCGGUAAGACGGGGGGUGCAACCGUUGUCCGGAAUCAUUGGGCUUAAAGAGUUCGUAGGCGGCACGUAAAGACUGGUGUUAAAGGCAGAGGCUCAACUUCGUUACGGCACUGGAUAAUUGCGAGCUAGAAUGCGGUAGAGGUAAAGGGAAUUCCUGGUGUAGCGGUGAAAUGCUUAGAUAUCAGGAGGAACAUCGGUGGCGGAAGCGCUUUACUGGGCCGUAAUUGACGCUGAGGAACGAAAGCCAGGGUAGCAAAUGGGAUUAGAUACCCCUGUAGUC